GGCUCACCAAGGCGACGAUCUGUAGCGGGUCUGAGAGGAUGAUCCGCCACACUGGAACUGAGACACGGUCCAGACUCCUACGGGAGGCAGCAGUGGGGAAUUUUGGACAAUGGGGGCAACCCUGAUCCAGCCAUGCCGCGUGAGUGAAGAAGGCCUUCGGGUUGUAAAGCUCUUUCGGCCGGGAAGAAAUCGCGUGGGUUAAUACCCUGUGCGGAUGACGGUACCGGCAUAAGAAGCACCUAACUACGUGCCAGCAGCCGCGGUAAUACGUAGGGUGCGAGCGUUAAUCGGAAUUACUGGGCGUAAAGCGUGCGCAGGCGGUUUUGUAAGACAGGCGUGAAAUACCCGGGCUCAACCUGGGAACUGCGCUUGUGACUGCAAGGCUAGAGUAUGGCAGAGGGGGGUGGAAUUCCACGUGUAGCAGUGAAAUGCGUAGAGAUGUGGAGGAACACCAAUGGCGAAGGCAGCCCCCUGGGCCAAUACUGACGCUCAUGCACGAAAGCGUGGGUAGCAAACAGGAUUAGAUACCCUGGUAGUCCACGCCCUAAACGAUGUCAACUAGGUGUUGGGUGGGUAAAACCAUUUAGUAUCGGAGCUAACGCGUGAAGUUGACCGCCUGGGGGGUACGGCCGCAAGGUUAAAACUCAAAGGAAUUGACGGGGACCCGCACAAGCGGUGGAUGAUGUGGAUUAAUUCGAUGCAACGCGAAAAACCUUACCUACCCUUGACAUGUCCAGGAGCCUGAAGAGAUUUGGGUGUGCCCGAAAGGGAACUGGAACACAGGUGCUGCAUGGCUGUCGUCAGCUCGUGUCGUGAGAUGUUGGGUUAAGUCCCGCAACGAGCGCAACCCUUGUCGUUAAUUGCCAUCAUUUAGUUGGGCACUUUAACGAGACUGCCGGUGACAAACCGGAGGAAGGUGGGGAUGACGUCAAGUCCUCAUGGCCCUUAUGGGUAGGGCUUCACACGUCAUACAAUGGUCGGUACAAAGGGUUGCCAACCCGCGAGGGGAGCCAAUCCCAGAAAGCCGAUCGUAGUCCGGAUUGCAGGCUGCAACUCGCCUGCAUGAAGUCGGAAUCGCUAGUAAUCGUGGAUCAGCAUGUCACGGUGAAUACGUUCCCGGGUCUUGUACACACCGCCCGUCACACCAUGGGAGCGGGUUCCGCCAGAAGUAGGUAGCCUAACCGCAAGGGGGGCGCUUACCACGGCGGGGUUCGUGACUGGGGUGAAGUCGUAACAAGGUA
Molecule: ribosomal RNA, 1241 nt
Filed under: metagenome
Description: bacterial SSU rRNA
Rfam family: Bacterial small subunit ribosomal RNA
Source: RNAcentral